GAUGAACGCUGGCGGCGUGCCUAAUACAUGCAAGUCGAGCGAACAGACGAGGAGCUUGCUCCUCUGACGUUAGCGGCGGACGGGUGAGUAACACGUGGAUAACCUACCUAUAAGACUGGGAUAACUUCGGGAAACCGGAGCUAAUACCGGAUAAUAUAUUGAACCGCAUGGUUCAAUAGUGAAAGACGGUUUUGCUGUCACUUAUAGAUGGAUCCGCGCCGCAUUAGCUAGUGUAAGGUAACGGCUUACCAAGGCAACGAUGCGUAGCCGACCUGAGAGGGUGAUCGGCCACACUGGAACUGAGACACGGUCCAGACUCCUACGGGAGGCAGCAGUAGGGAAUCUUCCGCAAUGGGCGAAAGCCUGACGGAGCAACGCCGCGUGAGUGAUGAAGGUCUUCGGAUCGUAAAACUCUGUUAUUAGGGAAGAACAAAUGUGUAAGUAACUAUGCACGUCUUGACGGUACCUAAUCAGAAAGCCACGGCUAACUACGUG
RNAcentral lists this ribosomal RNA (495 nucleotides) under uncultured bacterium. RNAcentral's name for it is "partial 16S ribosomal RNA". It matches the Rfam family "Bacterial small subunit ribosomal RNA", at positions 28 to 507 of the family's 1533-position model. The record is from RNAcentral.